Molecule: long non-coding RNA, 372 nt
Filed under: Brassica napus (rape)
Lineage: Eukaryota; Viridiplantae; Streptophyta; Magnoliopsida; Brassicales; Brassicaceae
Description: long non-coding RNA (BNAP_LNC015197)
Source: RNAcentral
UGUUUUUGAAUACUUGCUUUUGGUUACUUGUAUCUCUUAUAUAUUGUAGUCUUUAGAGUGUGUAGGAGAUGUCACAUGGUGUCCAGAUCUAAUUUAACUUCUUGAACGUUUGCUUGAAACUAUGUUUCAGUUACUUUAUACGCAUUCGGUUGCAUACAGCAUGGCAAUAACUUCAAGAUCAAAACAUUUGAUUUUUUUCCACUAAUUAUAGUGAAGAUGAUACAGAUCUGAUGACUCUAAACAUUUUAAUGGUGGAUGAUGAUAAUGUAAAACUUGCAAUCUACGUAAAAAAGCAUGUGCAUACUUCUUAGUUCUGAUACACAUGCAUUUCUCUAUACUCCUUGAACGGAAAGAGAUAUCACGAAAUCUGGC